CAAUCGCACUCGUCGUCGGAUACGUUGAAAAACUUGAGUUUCAGAGUAUCGUUCGCAUCGCACGCGUAAAGAUUUUCGCGGAAGGUCGCGCUCCAGGAAACAGCCAAGUACAUUUCCUGACAAAAAUAACUUUAGAGAUCAAAUUACCGAAAUUAUCAAACUGAUAGUGUAUCGUGACACAACCAUAC
Molecule: long non-coding RNA, 188 nt
Organism: Ooceraea biroi (clonal raider ant)
Lineage: Eukaryota; Metazoa; Arthropoda; Insecta; Hymenoptera; Formicidae
Source: RefSeq, a predicted model, not a curated record